GAUCCUGGCUCAGGACGAACGCUGGCGGCGUGCUUAACACAUGCAAGUCGAACGAGAGGACAAGAGAAGCUUGCUUCUUUUGGAAUCGAGUGGCAAACGGGUGAGUAACACGUAUCCAACCUUCCCGUUACUCUGGAAUAGCCUUUCGAAAGAAAGAUUAAUACCGGAUAGUAUCGAGAGAUUGCAUGAUUACCCGAUUAAAGAUUCAUCGGUAACGGAUGGGGAUGCGUUCCAUUAGGCAGUUGGCGGGGUAACGG
Molecule: ribosomal RNA, 257 nt
Filed under: uncultured bacterium
Lineage: Bacteria
Description: partial 16S ribosomal RNA
Rfam family: Bacterial small subunit ribosomal RNA
Source: RNAcentral